UACGUAGGGGGCAAGCGUUGUCCGGAAUCAUUGGGCGUAAAGAGCGCGUAGGCGGCCAGAUUAGUCCGGUGUGAAAGUCAAAGGCUCAACCUUUGAAUGCCGCUGGAAACUGUCGGGCUAGAGUGCGGAAGAGGCGAGUGGAAUUCCUGGUGUAGCGGUGAAAUGCGCAGAUAUCAGGAGGAACACCAAUUGCGAAGGCAGCUCGCUGGGACGUUACUGACGCUGAGACGCGAAAGCGUGGGGAGCAAACAGG
This 253-nucleotide ribosomal RNA is filed under the name uncultured bacterium. RNAcentral describes it as "partial 16S ribosomal RNA". It matches the Rfam family "Bacterial small subunit ribosomal RNA", at positions 524 to 776 of the family's 1533-position model. The record is from RNAcentral.